RNAcentral lists this ribosomal RNA (265 nucleotides) under uncultured archaeon. Its description in RNAcentral is "partial 16S ribosomal RNA". It matches the Rfam family "Archaeal small subunit ribosomal RNA", at positions 717 to 982 of the family's 1478-position model. The record is from RNAcentral.
ACACGACUACAUUAGAUACCCCGGGUAGUCCUAGCCGUAAACGAUACUCGCUAGGUGUCGGCCACGGUGCGACCGUUGUCGGUGCCGUAGGGAAGCCGUGAAGCGAGCCACCUGGGAAGUACGGUCGCAAGACUGAAACUUAAAGGAAUUGGCGGGGAGCACCACAACGCGUGGAGCCUGCGGUUUAAUUGGAUUCAACGCCGGACAUCCCACCAGGGGCGACAGCAGAAUGAUGGCCAGGUUGAUGACCUUGCUUGACAAGCUG